CGUAGGUGAACCUGCGGAAGGAUCAUUAUUGAAUACGAUUGGAUUCUCGAUGCUGGCUCUUCACUGAGCAUGUGCUCGUUUCCGUCUAUUUAUCUAUCUCUUGUGCACCUUUUGUAGUCUCUCUUGAACGAAAAGUGAAUACCCCUUCGCAGCAAUGCGGUUUGGAGGGCUUUGGAGCGCAAGCUUCAAUUCCUCUGCUUUGCUUUUCUUCUUUCGAGAGGGCCUACGUUUUCAUACACACUAUUAAAGUUACAGAAUGUCUUUUAAAGAUUGCGCUAGUCGCAGUCAUUAAACCUAUACAACUUUCAGCAACGGAUCUCUUGGCUCUCCCAUCGAUGAAGAACGCAGCGAAAUGCGAUAAGUAAUGUGAAUUGCAGAAUUCAGUGAAUCAUCGAAUCUUUGAACGCACCUUGCGCCCUUUGGUAUUCCGAAGGGCAUGCCUGUUUGAGUGUCAUUAAAUUCUCAACCCAAAAGUUCUUUAUUGAGCUCUUUGUGGCUUGGACGUGGGGGUUUUUGCUGGCUUCCUUCAGUGGAUGGUCUGCUCCCCUUAAAUGCAUUAGCGGGAUCUCUUGUGGACCGUCACUUGGUGUGAUAAUUAUCUAUGCCUUUGACUUUGAAGCAAAUCUUAUGGGAAUCCGCUCAUAACCGUCUCUUUGCUGGGACAAUUUUUGACAUUUUGACCUCAAAUCAGGUAGGACUACCCGCUGAACUUAAGCAUAUCAAUAAGCGGAGGAAAAGAAACUAACAAGGAUUCCCCUAGUAACUGCGAGUGAAGCGGGAAAAGCUCAAAUUUAAAAUCUGGCGG
RNAcentral lists this ribosomal RNA (805 nucleotides) under Mycena belliarum. RNAcentral describes it as "eukaryotic LSU rRNA". The stretch from base 301 to 454 matches the Rfam family "5.8S ribosomal RNA". Lineage: Eukaryota; Fungi; Basidiomycota; Agaricomycetes; Agaricales; Mycenaceae. The record is from RNAcentral.